This 253-nucleotide ribosomal RNA is filed under the name uncultured bacterium. RNAcentral describes it as "partial 16S ribosomal RNA". It matches the Rfam family "Bacterial small subunit ribosomal RNA", at positions 524 to 776 of the family's 1533-position model. The record is from RNAcentral.
UACGGGGGGGGCAAGCGUUGUUCGGAAUUACUGGGCGUAAAGGGCUCGUAGGUGGCCAACUAAGUCAGACGUGAAAUCCCUCGGCUUAACCGGGGAACUGCGUCUGAUACUGGAUGGCUUGAGUUUGGGAGAGGGACGCGGAAUUCCAGGUGUAGCGGUGAAAUGCGUAGAUAUCUGGAGGAACUCCGGUGGCGAAGGCGGCACGCUGGACCCGAUCUGACGCUGAGGCGCGAAAGCCAGGGGAGCAAACGGG